Drosophila obscura is the source of this 349-nucleotide long non-coding RNA. RefSeq lists it as uncharacterized. The record is from RefSeq and is a predicted model, not a curated record. The transcript is spliced from 2 exons. NCBI's taxonomy places the organism in Eukaryota, Metazoa, Arthropoda, Insecta, Diptera, Drosophilidae.
UCAAAAUGUUCUUGACCACCGAACAACUGUGCUGCUAUUUCAUUCUCCUGAUGUCUGUCACUGCUACUGCUGGACGCAAAAACCUCAUAUAUUGCGAUGAAUUGGGUGUUUGUCAGAAAAAUUGUUUUGUGUUAAUUAACAAUGCAAAAACGUGUCCUGGCGAUACGAAGUGCUGCCUAAGUGGAAUCGUCCCAGAUACUUAUGUGCCUUGAAAUUUAAUCACAAGAUAAAUGAAUGCCAAUGAGAAUUGUAUGAAAACAUUUAACAGAGUUUAGUAUUGAAUAUUAAACUUGCAAAUAAAUUUUGCACAAAAUGUGUAACAUCUAUAAUUAUGCUAAUAAAAAGCAUA